GACGAACGCUGGCGGCGUGCUUAACACAUGCAAGUCGAACGGUAAGGCCCUUCGGGGUACACGAGUGGCGAACGGGUGAGUAACACGUGGGUGAUCUGCCCUGCACUUCGGGAUAAGCCUGGGAAACUGGGUCUAAUACCGGAUAGGACCACUGCCUGCAUGGGGGGUGGUGGAAAGCUUUUGCGGGGUGGGAUGGGCCCGCGGCCUAUCAGCUUGUUGGGGGGGUGAUGGCCUACCAAGGCGACGACGGGUAGCCGGCCUGAGAGGGGACCGGCCACACUGGGACGGGGAUACGGCCCAGACUCCUACGGGAGGCAGCAGUGGGGAAUAUUGCACAAUGGGCGCAAGCCUGAUGCAGAGACGCCGCGUGAGGGAUGACGGCCUUCGGGUUGUAAGCCUCUUUCAGCACCGACGAAGCGCAAGUGACGGUAGGUGCAGAAGAAGGACCGGCCAACUACGUGCCAGCCGCCGCCGUAA
Molecule: ribosomal RNA, 477 nt
Filed under: uncultured bacterium
Lineage: Bacteria
Description: partial 16S ribosomal RNA
Rfam family: Bacterial small subunit ribosomal RNA
Source: RNAcentral